RNAcentral lists this ribosomal RNA (523 nucleotides) under uncultured Roseateles sp. RNAcentral describes it as "bacterial SSU rRNA". It matches the Rfam family "Bacterial small subunit ribosomal RNA", at positions 381 to 895 of the family's 1533-position model. Lineage: Bacteria; Pseudomonadati; Pseudomonadota; Betaproteobacteria; Burkholderiales; Sphaerotilaceae. The record is from RNAcentral.
GCCUGAUCCAGCCAUGCCGCGUGCGGGAUGAAGGCCUUCGGGUUGUAAACCGCUUUUGUCAGGGAAGAAAAGGUUCUGGCUAAUACCUGGGGACUCAUGACGGUACCUGAAGAAUAAGCACCGGCUAACUACGUGCCAGCAGCCGCGGUAAUACGUAGGGUGCAAGCGUUAAUCGGAAUUACUGGGCGUAAAGCGUGCGCAGGCGGUUAUGCAAGACAGAGGUGAAAUCCCCGGGCUCAACCUGGGAACUGCCUUUGUGACUGCAUGGCUAGAGUACGGUAGAGGGGGAUGGAAUUCCGCGUGUAGCAGUGAAAUGCGUAGAUAUGCGGAGGAACACCGAUGGCGAAGGCAAUCCCCUGGACCUGUACUGACGCUCAUGCACGAAAGCGUGGGGAGCAAACAGGAUUAGAUACCCUGGUAGUCCACGCCCUAAACGAUGUCAACUGGUUGUUGGGAGGGUUUCUUCUCAGUAACGUAGCUAACGCGUGAAGUUGACCGCCUGGGGAGUUACGGCCGCAAGGUU